UACAGAGGUGGCAAGCGUUGUUCGGAAUUACUGGGCGUAAAGGGCGCGUAGGCGGCCUUCUAAGUCAGACGUGAAAUCCCCCGGCUUAACCUUGGAACUGCGUCGGAUACUGGAUGGCUUGAAUUCGGGAGAGGGAUGCAGAAUUCCAGGUGUAGCGGUGAAAUGCGUAGAUAUCUGGAGGAAUACCGGUGGCGAAGGCGGCAUCCUGGACCGACAUUGACGCUGAUGAGCGAAAGCUAGGGGAGCAAACGGG
RNAcentral lists this ribosomal RNA (253 nucleotides) under uncultured bacterium. RNAcentral describes it as "partial 16S ribosomal RNA". It matches the Rfam family "Bacterial small subunit ribosomal RNA", at positions 524 to 776 of the family's 1533-position model. The record is from RNAcentral.